Molecule: long non-coding RNA, 589 nt
Organism: Felis catus (domestic cat)
Lineage: Eukaryota; Metazoa; Chordata; Mammalia; Carnivora; Felidae
Exons: 3
Source: RefSeq, a predicted model, not a curated record
AGCCUUCCAGCUCAGGGAGGGGUGUGCGAUAGUGUGAGAAGACGUCUCUUGCCUGAGAGUCUCUUGGAGGGGUUGACCCAGAUCCAGAACCCUGGGCAAGUUCUCUGUCUCUGAGUUCUUCCGUCUCCCUGACGAUAAAUCAUCCCGUUCCUUCUCUGCCUCUGCCUCCCCACAACUAUCCUUCCCACCGUACGUGUGUGCGCACGGCCCCCAGCACCCAAAUACACAAAUACAAACACGCACGCGCACCUGAGCACACACCCAGCGAGGACACGCGAGAUUUAACCAACCGAAGAACGUGGAACUAACCGAAGACUCCCACAGACAGUGUAUGAGGUACUCAUGAAUUGAUGCUCAGUAAAUACGGAGUAAAUAAUGGGCAAACGGUCCGAAAACACCAGCUGUUCCUGUUGAGGAGCCACGCGAUCUGUUACUUCUUGUGAAGCAAUAGCUGACUUUCAGCUCAUAAGAUGCAGCAGGCUGGAGGUGGAUGGAGAUCUCUCGAUGUGAAAGCACACUUAUCUGCUCCCUAAAUUUAAAUAAAAAGCGAAAUGAAAUAAACCGAUCCCGGCAGAAGAGGAGAAACCCA